This 497-nucleotide ribosomal RNA is filed under the name uncultured bacterium. Its description in RNAcentral is "partial 16S ribosomal RNA". It matches the Rfam family "Bacterial small subunit ribosomal RNA", at positions 28 to 507 of the family's 1533-position model. The record is from RNAcentral.
GAUGAACGCUGGCGGCGUGCCUAAUACAUGCAAGUCGAGCGAACAGAUGAGGAUCUUGCUCCUCGGACGUUAGCGGCGGACGGGUGAAAAACACGUGGAUAACCUACCUGUAAUACUGAUAUAACUUCGGGAAACCGGAGCUAACACCAGAGAAUAUAUUGAACCACAGGGGGCAAUAGUAAAAUACGGUGUUGGUGUCACGUAUAGAGGGUUCCCGGCCGUUUUAGCUAGUUGGGAAGGUAACGGCUUAUCAAGGCAACCAUGCGUAGCCGACCUGAGAGGGGGGUCGGCCGCCCGAGAACUGAGACACGGACCAGACGCCUACGGGAGGGCGCAGUAGGGAAUCUUCCGCAAUGGGCGAAAGCCUGACGGAGCAACGCGGCGCGAGAUAUGACGGUCUUCGGAUCGUAAAACUCUGUUAUUAGGGAAGAACAAAUGUGUAAGUAACUAUGCCCGUAUUGACGGUACCUAAUCAGAAAGCCACGGCUAACUACGUG